RNAcentral lists this ribosomal RNA (332 nucleotides) under uncultured Chloroflexota bacterium. Its description in RNAcentral is "bacterial SSU rRNA". It matches the Rfam family "Bacterial small subunit ribosomal RNA", at positions 28 to 351 of the family's 1533-position model. Lineage: Bacteria; Bacillati; Chloroflexota. The record is from RNAcentral.
GAUGAACGCUGGCGGCGUGCUUAAUACAUGCAAGUCGAACGAAGAGCUUUUGUAGCAAUACGAGAGCUUCUUAGUGGCGAACGGGUGCGUAACGCGUUGGUGACCUGCCCCGAAGUGUGGGAUAACAGUUCGAAAGGAUUGCUAAUACCGCAUGUGGUUUUUCCGGAUUAGAGGCCGGAUCUCUAAAGCAGUAAUGCGCUUCGGGAGGGACCUGCGUCCCAUCAGCUAGUUGGUAAGGUAGUGGCUUACCAAGGCGACGACGGGUAGGGGGCCUGAGAGGGUGAUCCCCCACACUGGCACUGAAACACGGGCCAGACACCUACGGGAGGCAG